Molecule: long non-coding RNA, 692 nt
Filed under: Eucalyptus grandis
Lineage: Eukaryota; Viridiplantae; Streptophyta; Magnoliopsida; Myrtales; Myrtaceae
Description: long non-coding RNA (EGRA_LNC004102)
Source: RNAcentral
CUCAAUUAAGAGUGUUUGAAACUGAGCAAGAAUAGACCUGUGAGCACGAAGAAAAUGAUAGCCCUUGGGGUGGUCACUCUUGCUGGUGAUAUUUGUAUAAUUCACGUCAUACCUACAUUGUUAGUACACUAAGUACUUCCUCAAAAGCAAUCCAAAAACUACAUAUGAAAGAGACAUCCUUAAAAUAUACAAGGAACCACAGGGGCACUUCAAGGCCAGUGUUGUUAUGCCUGUAAAGCAUAAGGAAGAGAACUAUAGAAGACAUAUCUAGGAAAUGCAGCAUUAUUGAAUGAGGUAAAACCAACAUAGCUAAGAAGCUCACUCAGACUGCAAACUGAGAAAAUCUGAAAAGCCAUAAAUGAUACAUAAUCAAGCCUCCAUAAUAUGUAGCGUUCAGCAGGAAAGCUAUGUCUAGAAAUGAAAGACUUUGCUCUGAGGAUUGGAAGCACAUAGAAAACAGUUUCUCAAUUAAGAGUGUUUGAAACUGAGCAAGAAUAGACCUGUGAGCACGAAGAAAAUGAUAGCCCUUGGGGUGGUCACUCUUGCUGGCGAUAUUUGUAUAAUUCACAUCAUACCUACAUUGUUAGUACACUAAGUACUUCCUCAAAAGCAAUCCAAAAACUACAUAUGAAAGAGACAUCCUUAAAAUAUACAAGGAACCACAAGUGCACUUCAAGGCCAGUGUUGUUAUG